Molecule: ribosomal RNA, 468 nt
Filed under: uncultured bacterium
Lineage: Bacteria
Description: partial 16S ribosomal RNA
Rfam family: Bacterial small subunit ribosomal RNA
Source: RNAcentral
GACGAACGCUGGCGGCGUGCUUAACACAUGCAAGUCGAACGGAAAGGCCCUGCUUUUGUGGGGUGCUCGAGUGGCGAACGGGUGAGUAACACGUGAGUAACCUGCCCUUGACUUUGGGAUAACUUCAGGAAACUGGGGCUAAUACCGGAUAGGAGCUCCUGCUGCAUGGUGGGGGUUGGAAAGUUUCGGCGGUUGGGGAUGGACUCGCGGCUUAUCAGCUUGUUGGUGGGGUAGUGGCUUACCAAGGCUUUGACGGGUAGCCAGCCUGAGAGGGUGACCGGCCACAUUGGGACUGAGAUACGGCCCAGACUCCUACGGGAGGCAGCAGUGGGGAAUAUUGCACAAUGGGCGGAAGCCUGUUGCAGCAACGCCGCGUGCGGGAUGACGGCCUUCGGGUUGUAAACCGCUUUCGCCUGUGACGAAGCGUGAGUGACGGUAAUGGGUAAAGAAGCACCGGCUAACUACGUG